CUACGAGCGGCUGCAGUGGGGAAUAUUGCACAAUGGGCGCAAGCCUGAUGCAGCCAUGCCGCGUGUAUGAAGAAGGCCUUCGGGUUGUAAAGUACUUUCAGCGGGGAGGAAGGGAGUAAAGUUAAUACCUUUGCUCAUUGACGUUACCCGCAGAAGAAGCACCGGCUAACUCCGUGCCAGCAGCCGCGGUAAUACGGAGGGUGCAAGCGUUAAUCGGAAUUACUGGGCGUAAAGCGCACGCAGGCGGUUUGUUAAGUCAGAUGUGAAAUCCCCGGGCUCAACCUGGGAACUGCAUCUGAUACUGGCAAGCUUGAGUCUCGUAGAGGGGGGUAGAAUUCCAGGUGUAGCGGUGAAAUGCGUAGAGAUCUGGAGGAAUACCGGUGGCGAAGGCGGCCCCCCGGACGAAGACUGACGCUCAGGUGCGAAAGCGUGGGGAGCAAACAGGAUUAGAUACCCCCGUAGUC
RNAcentral lists this ribosomal RNA (464 nucleotides) under uncultured bacterium. RNAcentral's name for it is "partial 16S ribosomal RNA". It matches the Rfam family "Bacterial small subunit ribosomal RNA", at positions 339 to 795 of the family's 1533-position model. The record is from RNAcentral.